This 292-nucleotide ribosomal RNA is filed under the name uncultured bacterium. RNAcentral's name for it is "partial 16S ribosomal RNA". It matches the Rfam family "Bacterial small subunit ribosomal RNA", at positions 505 to 796 of the family's 1533-position model. The record is from RNAcentral.
GUGCCAGCCGCCGCGGUAAGACGUAGGGCGCGAGCGUUGUCCGGAUUUAUUGGGCGUAAAGAGCUCGUAGGCGGCUCGUUGCGUCAAUCGUGAAAACUUGGGGCUUAACUCCAGGCUUGCGGUUGAUACGGGCGGGCUAGAGUUCGGUAGGGGAGACUGGAAUUCCUGGUGUAGCGGUGAAAUGCGCAGAUAUCAGGAGGAACACCGGUGGCGAAGGCGGGUCUCUGGGCCGAUACUGACGCUGAGGAGCGAAAGCGUGGGGAGCGAACAGGAUUAGAAACCCUCGUAGUCC